AUGAAAAUGCUUAGCUGGAACUGUCGGGGGCUGGGUCGGCCUCGCACAGUUCAAGAAUUAGUCUAUCUCAAUAAAUCUUACCGACCCAAUGUUAUCUUUCUUUCUGAAACAAGGCAAAAUGAAAAAUAUGUUGAGAGUUUGAGGUAUAGGUUGGGCAUGCAAAAUGUGUUUACUGUUUCAGUUAAAGGUAAAGGUGGUGGCUUAGCUGUGUUUUGGGAUGAGUGUUUUACUAUGGAGUUA
RNAcentral lists this ribosomal RNA (240 nucleotides) under Triticum aestivum (bread wheat). Its description in RNAcentral is "partial small subunit ribosomal RNA". The record is from RNAcentral. Lineage: Eukaryota; Viridiplantae; Streptophyta; Magnoliopsida; Poales; Poaceae.